GUCAGGGUGGCUUUGGCCACAACUUAGAACAACUGAGGGAGGUUCACAUUUUGAUCUGUGUGGGCCCGUUUGCUUUAGUUGGCAGGUCAUCGUUUGGAGCAAACAGCAGGCUAACAAGACCCAAGUGUACCCCGCAAGAGCUCACUUCUUGACUUUGCCCUGAGCAGCCACCGCCUCCAUGGCCUUCCUCACGGUCUCCUCGUCGCCCAGGAAUGACAUGGGCUUGACGGGCUUCAGGUUUGCGUCCAGCUCGUAGACGAUGGGAAUUCCCGUGGGGAGGUUCAGUUCCAUGAUGGCGGCGUCGGACAUCCCUGGUAGAAAAAAAAAAGUAACAUAAACGCGCGAUGACAUCAUUCCAGAAAGGGAGGGCGCGGGCGAUGGUGUCCUUGAGUGACUCACAGUUCACCUCACUGAUGAUGGAGUGGUAAGGGUGGUCCUUGUCCAUGGGUGGAGGCGGGAUGUCAAAGGAACGGCGCCAAAUCUUCACCUGCUCCUCGCCGUGCUUGGCGGCCGUCUCUGCCUUGUUGAGCCCAGUGAGGCCUCCGUAGUGGCGCUCGUUGAGGCGCCAGAGGUGUAGCAGAUGUCGAACUUCAUGCCGGCGUCUUUGAUGGCCUUCGCCCCCCGGGUCGCCUCCUCCACGCCUUUCUCGCUGAGGUCGGCGUCGAACCAGCCGCAGAAGCGAUUCUCCUGGUUCCAGGCGCUCUCCCCGUGGCGGACGAUAACCAGGCGAUGAACAGCGGCCAUGUUUGAAGCGAUUUUACCGGCUGUGACUGGCAAGCCCCCUUCCCGUUACACCUGUGAGAAGCCUUCUUACUGCAACCGACAUGCACGGUUGGCCAAUAGGAGCAGACGCCCGCGUGUGCUGCCCGUGAAGGCCAAAGGCCGGGGUGGAGCAGAAGAGUGCAAAGGAUGAGGAGGGAAACGACUGCAGGCUGCUGCUGCUGCUGCUGCUGCUGCCCUGUCUGCUGGAGAUUGCUGGAUGCCGAGUCAUCAGUGACUGUGGAGAAUCGAGUGCAUGACCUCGAUGAAAAGACAGCUGCAAUGCAGGGGACUAAGGCAGAAAUUGAAAAUGGAACUGGCGGAACACCGGAUGGAAAACGAAAACCGUCCCACUGUCAAGAUGGCUCUUUACAUUGAGUUUUCUGCACGCCACACACCCAGUUAACAGAGGGCGUCCCCCUCCCACUUCUCACGGGGAUAAAGAAGAGGUGGUGAAAUUCAAAGACAUGAAACAUCGCGUCUAAAAAGGAUUUGCAGCAAACAACAUUCAGAUGUACGAUAUUGCUGCUACGCUAUCACGUCCACAUGGAUCCACACUCCGCAGCGUCCUGGGAUGGAUGAAAAGCAGAAAGGAGUCAAGGUUAUGGGAAGAUGUCGAAAGGUAAGCGUGGUGUGACGGGAUGUGGAUGUCGUGCGGUGAUGUUAGUCGGCGCUUCUGCGGGACGACGAUGCCGUGUACAGUGGCAGGGAACAAAUGAGCAACAAGGGUGUGCGUGUAUGGCAGUGUGGGGGGGGGGGGUGCAUAGGUGAGGAGAAAGGGAGGGGUUACACUGCAGUUUAUCUGCAAUGCAUCACCAGCUCUCUCACUCGGCCUCACUCCGUGUAUGUCGAUUGAGAGGAUGCGUCUUUCUGACUCAUUGACAUUUUUUUUAUUUUGCAGGUAACAAUACGCAUCACAUAUGUAAGUUAAAGGCUGUUUUUCUCAACAACAAGAAUGGAACUGUUCACUUCAUGUGCCGUGGGACCAUAUUUGGUCACUUGGGUCAAAAAGGCAGCCGACAGCCAAGUGAAUGCCAAGAUGAUAACUGCAAGUUCUCUGUACUGUCAUUUAAAAAAUACGAACAAAACACAAUUAAUAUGACUUGAAAUGAUUUUAUGUACCUCUGCAUUUAAUUAAAUGUGAUUUAAAUUGCUGGCAUAUAUAGAAUGGCUCCUUACAUCUUUUGAGUAGCAUAUGCGUUACAAAUUUAAUUCAAAUGAUCAGAUUUAAUAAUCCCUUCCCUUUGAGUACAUUAAGUAGAAUGUAACUUUGCUCAGAAUUAAAGUCAAAAGUUACAUAAAGUUAAAUUAUAGUAAGUUUAAAAUGCCCCUGAUUAAUCCCAAAUUAAGUUUAACUGUUCAAUUAGGCUUUUCCUGUAUUUUUUUUUAAAUAAAUGUGUUAUCUCGUAAG
Syngnathoides biaculeatus (alligator pipefish) is the source of this 2170-nucleotide long non-coding RNA. RefSeq lists it as uncharacterized. Lineage: Eukaryota; Metazoa; Chordata; Actinopteri; Syngnathiformes; Syngnathidae. The transcript is spliced from 10 exons. The record is from RefSeq and is a predicted model, not a curated record.